UGGGGAAUUUUCCGCAAUGGGCGAAAGCCUGACGGAGCAAGACCGCGUGAGGGAGGAAGGCCUUUGGGUUGUAAACCUCUUUUCUCAGGGAAGAAGAAAGUGACGGUACCUGAGGAAUCAGCCUCGGCUAACUCCGUGCCAGCAGCCGCGGUAAUACGGAGGAGGCAAGCGUUAUCCGGAAUUAUUGGGCGUAAAGCGUCCGCAGGUGGUUUUUCAAGUCCGCUGUCAAAGACAGUAGCUCAACUACUGAAAGGCAGUAGAAACUGAGGAACUAGAGACCGGUAGGGGUAGAGGGAAUUCCCAGUGUAGCGGUGAAAUGCGUAGAGAUUGGGAAGAACACCAGUGGCGAAAGCGCUCUACUGGGCCGGAACUGACACUCACAGGACGAAAGCUAGGGGAGCGAAAGGGAUUAGAUACCCCCGUAGUCC
This 428-nucleotide ribosomal RNA is filed under the name uncultured prokaryote. RNAcentral's name for it is "bacterial SSU rRNA". It matches the Rfam family "Bacterial small subunit ribosomal RNA", at positions 355 to 796 of the family's 1533-position model. The record is from RNAcentral.